CCCAGAAAGGUCUUGACAUUGCACUUGACCAUUCGACACCACUGAAUGACAAGAUCUAAUCCCUCAGGGGGAAAAGGGCUGCCUGGAUCAAGCUCUUGAACCUGUUCUACCACAUGCUCAGGACCAUGGAAGGAGGCAUCUGCCAGAGCUACCAGUUCUAGCCCUGCUAAGCUCCAACCUCAUCUAGAGUUCGAGAAAAGUCAUACUGAUAAGGAAACUCCACCGAGACUGAGCCGAAGGAGAGGAGCCAAACACGGUUCCGGAGGGUCUGCAGCGCAGGGAAGGGGUUCCGGUGGAGGAUCAUCUCUUCCAGCUCAGGUAGCAGCUGCACUUCCACCUCCUUGAAGUUGAAGAUACUAUUGCCAUCAAAGCCAGCAGCCAGCUCUGGACAGUAUGCCUGCAGGGAACUUCCAUGCCGGCUCAGUGACACACUCUCUGCAGCCAGGGUAAUGAACUUGUCCUCAGCUACAAAAGCUGUGAGCUUGGCUGUGCUCACCUCCAGGGUUAGGUUUAGCAGCCGCUUUAGGGGUAAUGGCUCAGGGGCACGGCCUUCUAGCUCAGAAGUAGUUCCUGAAGUCUCUAGUGCAAGGGAUGGUACAGUCUCAGGAAACACAGUGGCUCUUAGUAGGUCUCGGCACUGUAGAGUGGCCAGGACAUGCUGGUACAGGUACAUGUGAUCUGGGGGGCUCCAAAGUAAGGUCAGCCCUGCACCACACUGAACCUUUAGGGAGCAGAAGAAAAGGAUCUGUCAAUUACCAUGUCACAAAACAGUAGAGAUGGCAAGGAUUAUGAUACAUGCACACCUGGCUCAAGAACCAUCUCCACCCAGAAGUUGUUCCUGAGUAAUCACAUUAAUUACUGCCUUGCUUUGUUCCUGUUAGCACUAAUGUGCUGAGCUGACAGUUGAUAGUGUCUGACAUUUAAGAGCACUUACACUUUUUAAGUUCUCUUCAACUGGAUUCUAAAUUGUCUGAAAA
Molecule: long non-coding RNA, 977 nt
Filed under: Pan troglodytes (chimpanzee)
Lineage: Eukaryota; Metazoa; Chordata; Mammalia; Primates; Hominidae
Description: long non-coding RNA NONPTRT007211
Source: RNAcentral